UGUGGCGUCCUAAGAGUUACGCUGGCAAUAAGCAGGCAUGGAUAAGUGCUGCUCUGGAAGUACGGAUUUGGGAGAUGGAUGGACAAAUUCUGGACAUUUCAAACAGAUGACCGCACCCCAAAACUACAAUCUAGGGAACAUGAUACACGCACAUCAUGCUUUUUAGAAGGUGAACGACAAAAGCAUUAUCGCGUCAAGGUUAUUCUAGAAUUCUAGUUCUUGUGUUUACAUUCGAGAACUUGUUACUUUCUGCUACUUCACAUCUCGCAGUAAUGGAUGAUUUAGGGUACCGAGGUCUCGGUGAACAAGAAUGGCUAGAUGAAUGAAGACCUUAUGGUGGAAUGCUACAGAAGGCGGCCUGGAGCUGGAUUUUUUAACAAGAAGAAGUCCUUGCUAAUUUUCGAAUCUAUGUCUGCUAAUCUGAUGGAUAGUGUUCAGAAGGCAGUGAACAAGGUUGGUGGUCACGUUGCUGUAAUACCUGGUGGACUUGCAUGCAAACUGCAGCCACUUCAUAUUGCUGUCAAUCAUGCAUUUAAGUGCCUUGUGAGCUGUCUGGCCGGCAGCGGCAUGUGACGUACAGUCAAGCGUGUGAAUGGGUUAUUUCAGCGUGGAACAAUGUGAAACCAGAAAGCAUACAGAAUGGUUUGCGCUAAGCCGGAAUCCUUCCUCCACCUACAAGCCUACAAGUAGCACAAGCAGCAUCUGCAAUCUGAGAGCGAUACCAGUGACGAAAGCGUGCCCAAUAUCAGCGACAGCACAGCAGCACAGGUCGCAAUCGAAAUUACGGAUCAGGUUUUGAAGGAUUUGAAGAAAGAACAAAAGAAGACAAAUCUCACCUCCAACAUUCCGUACUUCAGAAAAUGGGUCCUCAUCCACUUCCUCAUCCACAACGUCACUUCUGGCUCCCAUUGAUGACGUCACUUCUGGUCCUCCAUUGAUGACAUCACCUCCGGUCCUCCUCCAAUAAAAUCACUUCCGUCCCCCAUUGAUGACAUCACUUCCCAUAUUACAUCAUUUCCUGUAUAACCAUUUCCUGUAGUCAUUUUCUGACUGUAUUAAAAACGACGAUCACCCAUCCUUUGAUGUUGAAUGUUUGAUGUUUUUUCAUCUUUUGACCAGCAAUAUUGCACCACAUCAAUAUAUGGGGCAAUUUCCCAACUCUUUGAAAGUGUUUUGUGAAGUAAUUUAUCACAACACAUAAAUGAGGAAGCAGAGUGUACACAAAAAGAACAA
Polypterus senegalus (gray bichir) is the source of this 1233-nucleotide long non-coding RNA. RefSeq lists it as uncharacterized. The record is from RefSeq and is a predicted model, not a curated record. NCBI's taxonomy places the organism in Eukaryota, Metazoa, Chordata, Cladistia, Polypteriformes, Polypteridae. The transcript has 3 exons.